GAUGAACGCUGGCGGCGUGCCUAAUACAUGCAAGUCGAGCGAACAGACGAUGAGCUUUCUCCCCUGACGUUAGCGGCGGACGGGUGAGUAACACGUGGAUAACCUACCUCUUAUACUUGGAUAACUUCGGGAAACCGCAGCCACUACCGCCUAAUACAUUGAACCGCAUGGUUCAAUAGUUCAUGACGGCUUUCCUGUCACUUAUAGCUGGUUUCGCGCCGCAUUAGCUAGUUGGUAAGGUAACGGCUUACCAAGGCGACGAUGCGUAGCCGACCUGAGAGGGUGAUCGGCCACACUGGAACUGAGACACGGUCCAGACUCCUACGGGAGGCAGCAGUAGGGAAUCUUCCGCAAUGGGCGAAAGCCUGACGGAGCAACGCCGCGUGAGUGAUGAAGGUCUUCGGAUCGUAAAACUCUGUUAUUAGGGAAGAACAAAUGUGUAAGUAACUAUGCACGUCUUGACGGUACCUAAUCAGAAAGCCACGGCUAACUACGUG
Molecule: ribosomal RNA, 497 nt
Filed under: uncultured bacterium
Lineage: Bacteria
Description: partial 16S ribosomal RNA
Rfam family: Bacterial small subunit ribosomal RNA
Source: RNAcentral